This is a long non-coding RNA of Thunnus maccoyii (southern bluefin tuna), 828 nucleotides long. RefSeq lists it as uncharacterized. The record is from RefSeq and is a predicted model, not a curated record. The transcript has 4 exons. NCBI's taxonomy places the organism in Eukaryota, Metazoa, Chordata, Actinopteri, Scombriformes, Scombridae.
UCUUGCUGAUGUGUUAUGUUGGGCUUGUAACUGACAAAAAGCUUAAUUUUGGUUUCAUCAUAAUGUAGAACCUUCUCCCUCUUUGCCAGCAGUUUGCACCUGGUGUGAAAUAAUAUCCUCCCAUGACAACUACCUACCAUCUGGGAAAGACAAGUCAGACUUUCCAGAAUCCUGCCGCAUCAUGACAUCAUUCAUUUCAGCAGCUGCUGUGCUGCUCCUCAGCUGACCCUCUCCUCUGCACUCCAGACUUCUGGAACCCAGGUUCAAAGGAAAGACGCAGAGUGACGGCACCCAGGACCAGCUGAGAGAGGCAGUAAGUGCCAGUGGAGGACGGGUCAGAGGAGCAGUGCCACACAGAUGAAGUGGAGCCACAAGACUCAGUCACUCCACAGUAUUAACCAAAGACUGCAUUGGAAGAGAUCUGUUUGCUAAUGAAGACAGGGAGCGUAGGGUCAUCAUACAGCAGACUACCUUGUCUCCCAGUGAGCGUGUUGAUCAAGAACUUCAGUUCUACAAAGUCCUCCCUUCAAUCUCCAUGUCAGAAGAGCCUGCACUGUGGUAGAGGGAGAAGAAAGAUACUCUGCCCCUGCUUACACGGCUUACAACAACCUACUUCUGUGCCCAAACCUCCUCCAUCUCCAGUGAGAUGAGAACACUAUCAGUCAGGAGACAUCCAGACUUCUGCCAGAGAGAGAGAGAUAUAUUCAUCUUCCUGCAGAGGAACUGUUGAGGUAGUUUUCUAUGUUCUACAUUCUGUUUAAAGAAGUUAGAGUUUCACAUUUGUUUUUAGGAAGACAUUGUUGUGUAUACAGUACUCUGUCAAGGAAG